Long non-coding RNA from Esox lucius (northern pike), 1380 nucleotides. The record is from Ensembl. Lineage: Eukaryota; Metazoa; Chordata; Actinopteri; Esociformes; Esocidae.
AUUGAAUCAUCAAUAUCCGCCCGCUGGCUUCCAUUCCCCCCGACCGUUUACAGUGACUUAUCAUCUGUCUAGUUGCCGAUGUCUCUGGGUGCUUGAUCGGAUAGUGCUUGUGAACAGCCACGUAGACGCCACGGAACAAGCACUAGCAUGACAAUCCAACACCACCCCCGAAAGAUUGAGAGGGGCCUUAUUAUGCUCGCUAGCUGCCCGCAGUGAUAUGGCUAGCUCUUUUUACUACGUUGUACCGCCGCGGUGAAUAAAUCACGUUGCGUCAAGCUCCGUAAAUCGAUCCACUCUGCGCUUCCACGCAUUCUUUGUUGGAGUGCACCCGUGGAGUUUUUCCCCACAGGAUGAAAUACUGCUUUUUAUUUUUCGGGCCUGUCAAGAAACUUGAGCAGUUAUUCCCAGUCCGGCGCCGCUGAAUUAAUGGAGAAUUAAAGAGCAUCGGCUGAGUGAAGCCUCUCAGAAUCCCAACCCAGAUGAAAGGUGCACAGAGACAUCAGUGUGUGUGUGUGUGUGUGUGUGUGUGUUACGUGUUUGGGUCUUUACAUUCCUGUGCUCCUGUGUCCUCUCCGGCGCCCAGCCAAGCCGAUGCCCUACGGGCCACGGAGGCGUAAACCGUGACAGCGUGCCCCGCCCAGUGCCACCCUUGCCACCUCCUGGCCACAGGCUACAAGCUAGCUCGUCUGGACGAGCUGGAUGACGGCGGUGAGACGCGGAGUCGAGCUUGAGACCGUGAUCAGGCGCUGGCCCAGCUACUGUGGCCAGUUUCGAUUUGCAGCAUGUUGAAAUCCUUUGGCAACUCACCGCUCCGUCAACCCCCCACCCAACCCCCACCCCACCUCAAUUUUUCUGCACCUCAUUGCCCAAUGUCAACGUGGGUUGGGGGCUCGUCUCGGAGAAGUGGGGGACGCAGCAGGUUUAGAGCUUGAUGUCCAGAGCUGUACCUGUCUGUCCCAUGUGCUGGCUGUGUUGUCCCCCCCCCCCCCCCCCCAGCCUAUCUUGGUUCUAUUGUUUUCCACCCUCCCGUCCUGGUAACCCUUGUGAUCUGUUUCCCAUUCCUGCCAUAAUUAUUAUUUCGUUGUGUAAUUAUAAAAUCGCAGCGGCAGGGGCGGACAAAGCUGUUCUAUCGAUUGACCUAACAGAGGGAUUGAUUGAGGCGCAUUUGCAUGGAGAUCUGUUCCACGGCGGCUUAGAGAUCCUGAUCGAUCGCCCGGGAUUGAAGUGUAGUCGUCUCUGGAUGCUUUUCAGAGGUUGAGGUGAAAAUAAAUUUGUUUGUUUGCCACACUUUAUAUAAUAAUUUACACGGUAAAAUAAUGAGAUAUGACUUGAUUAUUGGUUUUUAUUUCAUUAUAUGAGCAAUAAAUGUUUUUGUGGAUC